GACGAACGCUGGCGGCGUGCCUAACACAUGCAAGUCGAACGGAGUCUUGCGUCAACACAGAGUGCUUUUUAAAGAGCACUGUGUGUUGAUGUAAGACUUAGUGGCGGACGGGUGAGUAACACGUGAGCAACCUGCCCAUGGGAGGGGGAUAACAUACCGAAAGGUAUGCUAAUACCGCAUAACGUAUGUUUGCCGCAUGACAGACAUACCAAAGAUUUAUCGCCCAUGGAUGGGCUCGCGGCCGAUUAAGUAGUUGGUGAGGUAACGGCUCACCAAGCCGACGAUCGGUAGCCGGACUGAGAGGUUGAACGGCCACAUUGGGACUGAGACACGGCCCAGACUCCUACGGGAGGCAGCAGUGGGGAAUAUUGCGCAAUGGGGGAAACCCUGACGCAGCGACGCCGCGUGAAGGAUGAAGGUCUUCGGAUCGUAAACUUUUGUCAUCGGGGACGAGUAAGGACGGUACCCGAGGAGGAAGCCGACGGCUAACUACGUGCCAGC
RNAcentral lists this ribosomal RNA (501 nucleotides) under uncultured bacterium. RNAcentral's name for it is "bacterial SSU rRNA". It matches the Rfam family "Bacterial small subunit ribosomal RNA", at positions 28 to 512 of the family's 1533-position model. The record is from RNAcentral.